UACGGGGGGGGUAAGCGUUGUUCGGAAUUACUGGGCGUAAAGGGCUCGUAGGCGGCCAACUAAGUCAGACGUGAAAUCCCUCAGCUUAACUGGGGAACUGCGUCUGAUACUGGAUGGCUUGGAUUCGGGAGAGGAAUGCGGAAUUCCAGGUGUAGCGGUGAAAUGCGUAGAUAUCUGGAGGAACACCGGUGGCGAAGGCGGCAUUCUGGACCGAUACUGACGCUGAGACGCGAAAGCGUGGGGAGCGAACAGG
This 253-nucleotide ribosomal RNA is filed under the name uncultured bacterium. RNAcentral describes it as "partial 16S ribosomal RNA". It matches the Rfam family "Bacterial small subunit ribosomal RNA", at positions 524 to 776 of the family's 1533-position model. The record is from RNAcentral.